CCCUGUGGGAAGCAGGAGGGACCACCCUCCAAGGCUAAAUACUACCUAGUGACCGAUAGCGUAUAGUACCGUGAGGGAAAGGUGAAAAGAACCCCGGGAGGGGAGUGAAAUAGAACCUGAAACCCUGCACUUACAAGCUGUGGAAGCACAUUUCUUGUGUGACCGCGUACUUUUUGUAGAACGGGCCAACGAGUUACGUUAAGUAGCAAGGUUAAGCACUUAAGGUGCGGAGCCGUAGCGAAAGCGAGUUUUAACUGAGCGUUCAGUUACUUGACGUAGACCCGAAACCGGGCGACCUACCCAUGAGCAGGAUGAAGCGAAAGUAAAAUUUCGUGGAGGUCCGAACCCACGAGCG
RNAcentral lists this ribosomal RNA (355 nucleotides) under Clostridioides difficile. RNAcentral's name for it is "bacterial LSU rRNA". It matches the Rfam family "Bacterial large subunit ribosomal RNA", at positions 432 to 788 of the family's 2925-position model. Lineage: Bacteria; Bacillati; Bacillota; Clostridia; Peptostreptococcales; Peptostreptococcaceae. The record is from RNAcentral.